CUUGUCAUCUCUUAACAUAUUUCACACUGCCACAUUCAAGGAGCAGAAGACUCAUUUGGACGCUUGUAAGAAAUCCUGCUACGCCCUCCGACAAACCAUCAAACAGGCAAAGCAUCAAUACAGGAGUAAAAUCAAAUCCUACGACACUGACUCUGAAGCUCGUCGGAUGUGGCAGGGGCUUGCAAACUAUCACGGAUCACAAAAGGAAUCCCAGCCGCGAGCUGCCCAGUGACGUAAGCCUACCAGACGAGCUAAAGGUGUUUUAUGUUCGCUUCGAGGCAAGCAACUAAGUAAUCAAUCUCUCCGUAGCCGAUGGCCCAUAAGUAAGUAUUUCACUUUUAGUCUACACCUGUUCUUUACGAAGAAUGUGACGAAUACAAUUGUAUUUUAUUUUAUUUGACUCGACUGCACUUGCACUGCAUAUCCCUCACUGGUUCACUGCAUGUCCCUCAUCGGUUCACUGCAUGUCCCUCAUCGGUUCACUGUAUGUCCCUCAUCGGUUCACUGCAUGUCCCUCAUCGGUUCACUGCAUGUCCCUCAUCGGUUCACUGCAUGUCCCUCAUCGGUUCACUGCAUGUCCCUCAUCGGUUCACUGCAUGUCCCUCAUCGGUUCACUGCAUGUCCCUCAUCGGUUCACUGCAUGUCCCUCAUCGGUUCACUGCAUGUCCCUCAUCAGUUCACUGUAUGUCCCUCAUCAGUUCACUGCAUGUCCCUAAUUGGAACCGCCCUUGCUGUCUCUGCCUGGCCGGUUCCCCUCUUUCCACUGGGAUUCUCUGCCUCUAACCCUAUUACAGGGGCUGAGUCACUGGCUUACUGGGGCUCUCUCAUACCGUCCCUGGGAGGGGUGCGUCACCUGAGUGGGUUGAGUCACUGAUGUGAUCAUCCUGUCUGGGUUGCCCCCCUUGGGUUGUGCCGUGUCGGAGAUCUUUGUGGGCUAUACUCAGCCUCGUCUCAGCAUGGUAAGUUGGUGGUUGAAGAUAUCCCUCUAGUGGUGUGGGGGCUGUGCUUUGGCAAAGUGGGUGGGGUUAUAUCCUUCCUGUUUGGCCCUGUCCGGGGGUGGCCUUGGAUGGGGCCACAGUGUCUCCUGACCCCUCCUGUCUCAGCCUCCAGUAUUUAUGCUGCAGUAGUUUAUGUGUCAGGGGGCUAGGGUCAGUUUGUUAUAUCUGGAGUACUUCUCCUGUCCUAUUCGGUGUCCUGUGUGAAUUUAAGUGUGCUCUCUCUAAUUCUCUCUUUCUUUCUCUCUCUCGGGGGACCUGAGCCCUAGGACCAUGCCUCAGGACUACCUGACAUGAUGACUCCUUGCUGUCCCCAGUCCACCUGGCCGUGCUGCUGCUCCAGUUUCAACUGUUCUGCCUUAUUAUUAUUGGACCAUGCUGGUCAUUUAUGAACAUUUGAACAUCUUGGCCAUGUUCUGUUAUAAUCUCCACCUGGCACAGCCAGAAGAGGACUGGCCACCCCUCAUAGCCUGGUUCCUCUCUAGGUUUCUUCCUAGGUUUUGGCCUUUCUAGGGAGUUUUUCCUAGCCACCGUGCUUCUACACCUGCAUUGCUUGCUGUUUGGGGUUUUAGGCUGGGUUUCUGUACAGCACUUUGAGAUAUCAGCUGAAGUACGAAGGGCU
Long non-coding RNA from Oncorhynchus tshawytscha (Chinook salmon), 1617 nucleotides. The record is from Ensembl. NCBI's taxonomy places the organism in Eukaryota, Metazoa, Chordata, Actinopteri, Salmoniformes, Salmonidae.